RNAcentral lists this ribosomal RNA (468 nucleotides) under uncultured bacterium. RNAcentral describes it as "partial 16S ribosomal RNA". It matches the Rfam family "Bacterial small subunit ribosomal RNA", at positions 28 to 507 of the family's 1533-position model. The record is from RNAcentral.
GACGAACGCUGGCGGCGUGCUUAACACAUGCAAGUCGAACGGAAAGGCCCUGCUUUUGUGGGGUUCUCGAGUGGCGAACGGGUGAGUAACACGUGAGUAACCUGCCCUUGACUUUGGGAUAACUUCAGGAAACUGGGGCUAAUACCGGAUAGGAGCUCCUGCUGCAUGGUGGGGGUUGGAAAGUUUCGGCGGUUGGGGAUGGACUCGCGGCUUAUCAGCUUGUUGGUGGGGUAGUGGCUUACCAAGGCUUUGACGGGUAGCCGGCCUGAGAGGGUGACCGGCCACAUUGGGACUGAGAGACGGCCCAGACUCCUACGGGAGGCAGCAGUGGGGAAUAUUGCACAAUGGGCGGAAGCCUGAUGCAGCAACGCCGCGUGCGGGAUGACGGCCUUCGGGUUGUAAACCGCUUUCGCCUGUGACGAAGAGUGAGUGACGGUAAUGGGUAAAGAAGCACCGGCUAACUACGUG